GUAGUCCUAGCCAUAAACGAUGAUGACUUGGUGUGUCGGGUUUGAGUCCCGAUGUGCCGGAGCUAACGCGUUAAGUCAUCCGCCUGGGGAGUACGGUCGCAAGACUGAAACUCAAAGGAAUUGACGGGGACCCGCACAAGCGGUGGAGCAUGUGGUUUAAUUCGACGCAACGCGAAGAACCUUACCUGGGCUAGAAUGCGAAGGAAGACCUUCCAAAAGAGGGUCGUCUGGGGUAAAACUCAGACCUGAAGCAAGGUGCUGCACGGCUGUCGUCAGCUCGUGUCGUGAGAUGUUGGGUUAAGUCCCGCAACGAGCGCAACCCUUACCGUUAGUUGCUACCAGUUCGGCUGAGCACUCUAAUGGAACCGCUGGUGAUAAACCGGA
RNAcentral lists this ribosomal RNA (384 nucleotides) under uncultured bacterium. Its description in RNAcentral is "bacterial SSU rRNA". It matches the Rfam family "Bacterial small subunit ribosomal RNA", at positions 790 to 1167 of the family's 1533-position model. The record is from RNAcentral.